Molecule: unclassified non-coding RNA, 599 nt
Filed under: Zea mays
Lineage: Eukaryota; Viridiplantae; Streptophyta; Magnoliopsida; Poales; Poaceae
Description: misc RNA Zm00001eb190370
Source: RNAcentral
GCCUACCACCACAUGCUGACACAACGAGCAGUUGAUGACCAGGCCGUGCACGGCUCGGAGCAUCCUGCUGUCCCAUAGGUCGGCGCAGGCUCUGAACACACUCGGGAGCACAAACCUGUUCACCGGGACUCCCUCCCUCCGCAUACUGCGGAAGAGCUCGACGACCUCCGCAUGCCGGCCAGCGUGCGCCAGCGCCACGAAGACCGCGCUCUCGCUCUUCUCGCCGACCUCAUGGGGAUCACGUCCGCUUGCAAUCUGUCCGCCCGUCCCAAGGCUUUCGUCCAACGGGUUAGCUGCGCUCUUAGUGUUCUCAGUGCUCCUCUCAGGCAUUAUGUCGAACUGGUUACGUGGGUUCACUGGGCCGGGGUUCUGGGUGGUUCUUGCACUGGGCAGCAUGAUGAGUUCUCGCUGCAAGAUGCCCGCGGAGGCGGCGACGCACAGGAGGAGGUGGCGGCGCCAUCGCCCAAGCUCCCAUUUGAGGUGGGUGGGUUGACGGGAGGCGGAAUAGGGAUUUGCACGAGAGGAAUGGAGCCCCGGAGGAUAAGGGUGCAGGAGGCAAGCGGCCAUAUCCGGUUGCUGUUUGGCUCAAAAGAACGGAC